AAUCUGCCCCUAAGACGAGGAUAACAGUUGGAAACGACUGCUAAGACUGGAUAGGAGACAAGAAGGCAUCUUUUUGUUUUUAAAAGACCUAGCAAUAGGUAUGCUUAGGGAGGAGCUUGCGUCACAUUAGUUAGUUGGUGGGGUAAAGGCUUACCAAGACUAUGAUGUGUAGCCGGGCUGAGAGGUUGAACGGCCACAUUGGGACUGAGACACGGCCCAAACUCCUACGGGAGGCAGCAGUAGGGAAUUUUCGGCAAUGGAGGAAACUCUGACCGAGCAACGCCGCGUGAACGAUGAAGUAUUUCGGUACGUAAAGUUCUUUUAUUAGGGAAGAAUAAAUGAUGGAAAAAUCAUUCUGACGGUACCUAAUGAAUAAGCCCCGGCUAACUAUGUGCCAGCAGCCGCGGUAAUACAUAGGGGGCAAGCGUUAUCCGGAAUUAUUGGGCGUAAAGGGUGCGUAGGCGGUUAAAUAAGUUUAUGGUCUAAGUGCAAUGCUUAACAUUGUGAUGCUAUAAAAACUGUUUAGCUAGAGUAAGAUAGAGGCAAGUGGAAUUCCAUGUGUAGUGGUAAAAUGCGUAAAUAUAUGGAGGAACACCAGUAGCGAAGGCGGCUUGCUGGGUCUUUACUGACGCUGAGGCACGAAAGCGUGGGGAGCAAACAGGAUUAGAUACCCUGGUAGUCCACGCCGUAAACGAUGAGUACUAAAUGUUGGGUAAAACCAGUGUUGAAGUUAACACAUUAAGUACUCCGCCUGAGUAGUACGUACGCAAGUAUGAAACUUAAAGGAAUUGACGGGACUCCGCACAAGCGGUGGAUCAUGUUGUUUAAUUCGAAGGUACCCGAAAAACCUCACCAGGUCUUGACAUGCUUCUGCAAAGCUGUAGAAACACAGUGGAGGUUAUCAGUUGCACAGGUGGUGCAUGGUUGUCGUCAGCUCGUGUCGUGAGAUGUUGGGUUAAGUCCCGCAACGAGCGCAACCCUUAUUGUUAGUUGCCAGCACGUAAUGGUGGGGACUUUAGCAAGACUGCCAGUGAUAAAUUGGAGGAAGGUGGGGACGACGUCAAAUCAUCAUGCCCCUUAUGACCUGGGCUACAAACGUGAUACAAUGGCUGUUACAAAGGGUAGCUGAAACGCAAGUUUUUGGCGAAUCUCAAAAAAACAGUCUCAGUUCGGAUUGAAGUCUGCAACUCGACUUCAUGAAGUUGGAAUCGCUAGUAAUCGCGAAUCAGCAUGUCGCGGUGAAUACGUUCUCGGGGUUUGUACACACCGCCCGUCAAA
This 1278-nucleotide ribosomal RNA is filed under the name Strawberry phylloid fruit phytoplasma. Its description in RNAcentral is "bacterial SSU rRNA". It matches the Rfam family "Bacterial small subunit ribosomal RNA", at positions 123 to 1401 of the family's 1533-position model. Lineage: Bacteria; Bacillati; Mycoplasmatota; Mollicutes; Acholeplasmatales; Acholeplasmataceae. The record is from RNAcentral.